Molecule: long non-coding RNA, 609 nt
Organism: Poecilia latipinna (sailfin molly)
Lineage: Eukaryota; Metazoa; Chordata; Actinopteri; Cyprinodontiformes; Poeciliidae
Exons: 3
Source: RefSeq, a predicted model, not a curated record
UCGUUUCCUCCUUGUGCAGGGUACUGUGCUGUGGAUCAGCCCCCACAGCGUAACAGGCUGUGCGUUUCCUCCUUCCAGUCUCUCUCUCUCUGGGCUCUCUCGUCCCUCCAUGCCAUGCAUGGUGCGUGUGGCAUUCUUCACUGCUCUGCUGCUGGGCCUCAUCUCCUCCCCACGCAUAUCUGGAUGCCUCACUGAUUCCUCCAUGGUUCCUUGGAUUCUCUUUCUCGCUCCAUGAUUUCUCUCUGGAAACCUGCCUUUAAAAACUCCUGCCAGAUUCAAACUGAAGGUAAAAAACUAAAGGAAAGGAAAAAAAAGGAAAUGAGGUCUUUUUAAAAUAAAUUCACAAAUAUACAAAUAAAGUAUAAGUAGUUCUCCAAUAUGAUCUGAUGGCAGUGAGAUCAAUUUAAUUGAAAAAUGACCAUGAUUAAACAAGCCAAACCAUUACCCAUCCAGCCAAUCUCAACUCAAUGGAUGUACCUGCUGCUCCCUGUUAUCUCAACCCCAGGAUGACGAGUGUGGUCUCGGAUUGGACUUCCUCUAGCAGUCCUUAUCGCAUCCUGUCAAAGAAAAUCUUUUGCGAAGAGAAAAAAUAAAAACUCUGCCUUUCUA